This 61-nucleotide transfer RNA is filed under the name Ictidomys tridecemlineatus (thirteen-lined ground squirrel). RNAcentral describes it as "Spermophilus tridecemlineatus (thirteen-lined ground squirrel) tRNA". It matches the Rfam family "tRNA", at positions 6 to 65 of the family's 71-position model. Rfam says of the family: Transfer RNA (tRNA) molecules are approximately 80 nucleotides in length. Their secondary structure includes four short double-helical elements and three loops (D, anti-codon, and T loops). Further hydrogen bonds mediate the characteristic L-shaped molecular structure. tRNAs have two regions of fundamental functional importance: the anti-codon, which is responsible for specific mRNA codon recognition, and the 3' end, to which the tRNAs corresponding amino acid is attached (by aminoacyl-tRNA synthetases). tRNAs cope with the degeneracy of the genetic code in two manners: having more than one tRNA (with a specific anti-codon) for a particular amino acid; and 'wobble' base-pairing, i.e. permitting non-standard base-pairing at the 3rd anti-codon position. Lineage: Eukaryota; Metazoa; Chordata; Mammalia; Rodentia; Sciuridae. The record is from Rfam by way of RNAcentral.
UGUUGCUGAAUGGUAGAGCAGUUGCCUGGCAUGCAGCAGGCCCUGGGUUCAACCCCCAGCA